This 363-nucleotide ribosomal RNA is filed under the name uncultured bacterium. RNAcentral's name for it is "bacterial SSU rRNA". It matches the Rfam family "Bacterial small subunit ribosomal RNA", at positions 554 to 919 of the family's 1533-position model. The record is from RNAcentral.
UUGGGGUUUAAGGGUCCGUAGGCGGACUUAUAAGUCAGUGGUGAAAGCCUGUCGCUUAACGAUAGAACUGCCAUUGAUACUGUAAGUCUUGAGUAUAUUUGAGGUAGCUGGAAUAAGUAGUGUAGCGGUGAAAUGCAUAGAUAUUACUUAGAACACCAAUUGCGAAGGCAGGUUACCAAGAUAUAACUGACGCUGAGGGACGAAAGCGUGGGGAGCGAACAGGAUUAGAUACCCUGGUAGUCCACGCCGUAAACGAUGCUAACUCGUUUUUGGGCUUUAGGGUUCAGAGACCAAGCGAAAGUGAUAAGUUAGCCACCUGGGGAGUACGCUCGCAAGAGUGAAACUCAAUGAAAUUUACGGGGG